AUAAUUAAGAGAUUAUUUAGAGUGCCAACUUCACCACAACCUCGCGUUAUGGUGACUAAAUUUCUAAAUGUCGAAAUUCUGGAGCAUUCGGGAGUAGAAAAUGGCCUUUGGGGCAGAUUUUGGCACUAAAGGUACAAUUAUUCUGUAUAGGUGUACUUGACCUUGGAGUCACUCACUGACCUUCGUGGCGGUGCUGACCUUAAAGGUGUGAUUGUUUCCUAAAGCCUUUUUGUUUGGCCUCUAAAGGUGUGAUUGAUUCUUUUAAAUGUCAUUGAUGCUGGAGGUGUUGCUGGACACCGAAGAGCCCGAAUCUCCUCGAUUAUGGGUGGAAGCUCGGGGUAAAGAAGGUAGAGUAAGAGUGUUGCAACACUGAGAUCCUCGUGAUGCAAGAAAAUACUUUUUAGUGGUGUUCGUUGCCAACAGAUGGCGCCACCAAAAUCAACCGUUUGUCACCAGUUGUUCUCUGUACUGGUGUCGCCAUCUGUUGGUGACUGAGAUAACCAGAAGCGAAUAGAAAAAAAGUGACGCCCCGAAAUCACGGGGAAUUGACCCUCCUUACUUUACUUUCCUUGCUUUAAGGGUCGUUCAUCUCGAAAAUCUGAUUUUUUCGGUAUAAAUAAAGCAACAACACCCAGCUUGUAGUAGCCUUGUGGUUUUUAGAAAGUUUUGCGUAGGAUUCUUUAUUUGUUUUGGUUUCCUUCAACUUAAUUUACAUUUUUGUUGUGUUUUUUUUCUAAUGAGUUAGUUGGAUCCUUCUGUGAUAACCAGUGAAAGAUAUGUGCCAUACAGCUCUCCAGUGACGGUAAUCACAUUUAUCAUACGUCCGGCAGCGGUGUCAGUGGCCUCAUAAAUUUCGAAAUUGCGUACUAGUCGUCGUGGUGUCGUCCAGCCCAGCGCCAGUCCCACACAGAGAUUAUCAGUAAUCGUGUCGGGUCGUCGAUUAUCCAUAUCUCUGGAUACGACCUGACACACUUAGGGACUGACUCGGGUCGUCGAUUAUCCAUAUCUCUGGAUACGACCUGGCACACUUAGGGACUGACUCGGGUCGUCGAUUAUCCAUAUCUCUGGAUACGACCUGACACACUUAGGGACUGCCUCGGGUCGUCGAUUGCCAUGACGACCGUGUGAAUUGGUCCUUAGCGUUUAGUACUAGUCUUGAGACCUGAUAAGGUUGGUGUCAUUAAAUUGUUAGUUUACAUCCUACGGUUUUGAUGUUGAGAUUUCUAUAUCUUUUGUAUUGAAUCUAUUUGAAUAAACAUAUGUAACCAA
Long non-coding RNA from Penaeus monodon (black tiger shrimp), 1269 nucleotides. RefSeq lists it as uncharacterized. NCBI's taxonomy places the organism in Eukaryota, Metazoa, Arthropoda, Malacostraca, Decapoda, Penaeidae. The transcript is spliced from 2 exons. The record is from RefSeq and is a predicted model, not a curated record.